UAUAUCCAUUUACACCUGUGAACCGUUUGAUUGACACUCUGUGUUGAUUUUACAAACAAUAUGUAAAGAAAGUCAAGUUAUUAUAACAAAAAAUAACUUUCAACAACGGAUCUCUUGGCUCUCGCAUCGAUGAAGAACGCAGCGAAAUGCGAUAAGUAAUGUGAAUUGCAGAAUUCAGUGAAUCAUCGAAUCUUUGAACGCAACUUGCGCUCUCUGGUAUUCCGGAGAGCAUGCCUGUUUGAGUGUCAUGAAAUCUCAACCAUUAGGGUUUCUUAAUGGCUUGGAUUUGGGUGUUGCCAGUCUCUGGCUCGCCUUAAAGGAGUUAGCGAGUUUAACAAUGUCGUCUGGCGUAAUAAGUUUCGCUGGUAAGACUUGUGAAGUUUGCUUCUAAUCGUCUUCGGACAAUUACUUUGACUCUGGCCUCAAAUCAGGUAGGACU
Molecule: ribosomal RNA, 439 nt
Filed under: Apiotrichum porosum
Lineage: Eukaryota; Fungi; Basidiomycota; Tremellomycetes; Trichosporonales; Trichosporonaceae
Description: eukaryotic LSU rRNA
Rfam family: 5.8S ribosomal RNA (bases 95-248)
Source: RNAcentral